RNAcentral lists this unclassified non-coding RNA (163 nucleotides) under uncultured Sordariomycetes. RNAcentral describes it as "sequence contains ITS1". The record is from RNAcentral. Lineage: Eukaryota; Fungi; Ascomycota; Sordariomycetes.
CUGAGUACUACACUCUCUACCCUUUGUGAACUAUUAUACCUGUUGCUUCGGCGGGCCUACCCUGUAGCUACCUGUAGCUACCCUGUAGACCGCCGAAGGACCAUUAAACUCUUGAUUAUUUUGGCAUCUCUGAGUAGCUUAUAAAUAAGUUAAAACUUAAUUA